Xiphophorus maculatus (southern platyfish) is the source of this 2136-nucleotide long non-coding RNA. RefSeq lists it as uncharacterized. NCBI's taxonomy places the organism in Eukaryota, Metazoa, Chordata, Actinopteri, Cyprinodontiformes, Poeciliidae. The transcript is spliced from 3 exons. The record is from RefSeq and is a predicted model, not a curated record.
UCCCUCCCUCUGCCUCACUUUAUCUUCCUCUCUCACUCUCAUAUUUCGCAUAAAGGAGUCACAUUUCACUGAAGAAGAGGAAUCAAGACUUCACCUCUUCCUCCUUCUUCUUCAACAGUCCCGUUCCCUUCACUCUCUCUCUCUCUCUCUGCUGUCAUCUUUUCUCCUCCCAUCUCUGCAUCACACUUGGAUUCACUCCGUUUCCUUCUGCCUGCUUCCCAAACUUAUUUUACUUUGCUCUCACAGUUUUUCCCUUCCUGCAGACUUAUUUACUUUUUGUUUUGCAUCUGAAGAAACAGAUUUUUUUUAAUGUUUGAAGACUUUUCCUUCUCUCCUAAACCAGAGGAAAGAUUCAGUUUGUCAACCCAAAGCGCUCAUCCCCAGUGUCGAGGAGACCCCCGCAGGAGAAACCAGAGCACUGCAGCGAGAGCCAAAGCACUGCGGUCACCUCCCCUUCCAGUGCGGUGCCACACCCCACACCUCGCCACCCUCUGCACCUCACUGUGCAAAUCUGAGCCGGAAUCAAGAUUCAUGGGAAUCCUCUGAACUCCAGCUGUGUUUCUCCCUUCUACCUGAUCUACAGCCAACAAUCAAACAAGUAGGAACAUCGGUUCUCUGGAAGUGAGUGACCUCUGACCUCCUACGAAACAUAAACAGCUGGAUUCAACGGUAGACGUUGUGCAACCAGAAACAAAGACAUGUUGAUUCAACUUUUACACCGUUUCCAUUUUACAAACACUUUCUUUUUCAAAAAUAAAAAUCUUAAAAGUGUGGCCUGCAUUUGUGUUCAAUACCCAUCAAUGAUUGAUUGAAAACUACAAAGUAAAACUACAAUCCCAACAAGCUCCAGAGUUAUUAAAAUACAAAACAUUAAAAAUACAAAAUAUGUUCAAAUCUCCUGCAAAUGGUCGAAAAAUGAGAGACACGACCUUUAGAGAAGGGAAGGAGGGGAGAAAGGAUGGAAGGAAGAAAGAGAGAGAGAAAAAAAGAAGAAAGCUAACAUGAAGGUGAAUGAAAUAACACGUUUAAAUUUUUAACUUUCAAAGGAUGAAAACCUGAUUUAGUGGAUGAAAGUAAACCAGUUCAGUUCGUCGGUAAAAAUGUUUCUCUGGUUUUAGAAAAUAUUUCCUGCAAUCAUAAUGUCAAACUAAUCAAUAUUUCCAGAACAAACCUGGAAAUAAUUCAGUGAGUUAUACAGCAGGACGGUCACAGGUUGGUUCUGGUGUUUCUUCCCUUUGAACUGGUCUGACCUGAAGGUUCUGACUCGGUUCUGGAUCCAGUUCAUGUCGACAGAGGAGAACUUUCUGGACUUUCCUCAGUUUUCAUUAUUCAUGCUGGACGCAGAUUCUCCAGCUGCUGCAGGCUCACAAACGCUGCACUCUGAUUGGAUGUCAAAAUGUUUCAGUUUAAUCAAAUACAUUUCUAUGAUUUAAAUCAUAAAAAUCUAAACUUACAGCUCAAACGUCUUCAGAUUAAAGCUGCAAUAAGACCAGAGUUGGGAAGUAACUAGUUACAUUUAUUCAACUAUAUUUACUUUUUUUGCAAAAAUGUCCUAGUUCUAGUUCCACGGGCAGAUAAAUUCACUUUUACAUGGGAAACAUCUUAUUAUAAGUGAAUUGAUCUGCCAAUGGAACCAGCACUUUUCCAUCAAUAUUAAAGGAAUUAUUUACUUAAAAUAAGCAGCUACUGUAUAUCUUGCUGAAAAGUUUCUUUGUCUUAUAGAUAUUUGCAGUAGAAACUAGACCAAAAAUCCUUGGUAAGGUUUCGUGUUUUGUCGUCUGCUGCUUCUCUUACUCCUGUGGAAUAACUGGAAGCUUUAAAAACAUCUGAGACAUUUUAUUAAACAAAACCUGCAGAACAGAUUUAAUCUGUAAUGAUCUGACAAGGUCAAAGGUCAUACGAGACAACGUACAGAUGUUGCUGCGGAACAUAAAAGCUGCACCUGCAUAUAAACACAUUUUAAUAAACAUAUUCCAUCCAUAAUGUUUGUUUCUGCCUGCGAGGCACAGAGUGGUUCUGUUACAAAGGCCGCAGCUGAAAACGAGUCCAGACCGAGUUCUGUCCUCUCCGAUCCGGAGACGCUCCGUCCUCCUCCUCUCUCCUCCGUCCUCCUCCGUCCUCCUCCGUCCUCCUCCG